Mastomys coucha (southern multimammate mouse) is the source of this 1142-nucleotide long non-coding RNA. RefSeq lists it as uncharacterized. The transcript has 3 exons. The record is from RefSeq and is a predicted model, not a curated record. Lineage: Eukaryota; Metazoa; Chordata; Mammalia; Rodentia; Muridae.
UCUGGACCGUUAAUGGGCCUGGCAGCGCAAAGGGAGAUGGAGCUUUCUUCAGAAAGGUUGAAAACAUCACCACGACCACAAGAGGAGGAGAGUUUUUUAGAAGACACAGUUGCCUUCUGAGGUGAGAUGUGGAGACUGCCCUCUACACAGCUCAGAGUUUGCCUGGUGCUUCAGUUGGGAAGCCACGAUGAAGAUCUAGCCUGGGAAACCCUGAGUGCUCCAGACCCAGCAGCAGCCUCCAGCCUUCUGCUGAGUGAAUGUUGCCUCGGGGAGCACAUCCCUCAGUCAGAGUGGCUUCCUGGGAAACCAGGGAACUCAGCUCGCCAUAGGAAGAUGUUCCUUCUGUCCACACCAUCUGCAGCUUACCCACCUCUGACCUUCCUGGGUGAUCUGCCUUCUUAGAAAGAAGCAGGCCACCGCCCUGAUGACCUAUGAACACGAAGAUAUUGUUUCUUAGACAAGGUUUCUAUGUUUGGCCUGGGAUGGGCUUAUGCUUGUAGGAAUCCUCCUGUCUCAGUUUUCUCAAUUCUGAGAUUAUAGUUGUGCACCAUUACCCUUCAUAGGACCCAGGCUUUUGGUAUCUAACACGAACUCUGUCACUGCUGUAAGGCCAGUCUGGACUGGCUUCUUCCCUCUGUCCACUUUGGAUGUCUGUUAUCCAUCCAUGUCCCGGAAGAGUUCUCAGGAAACAUAGUCCUGGCUCUCUCAUGAUGGAAAGGAAUGAAUGGGGAAAGAGAAGAGCUCUCAGACGAAAUGGACACAAGAAGGAGAGUGCUACGGGCUGUCAUUUCCUGGAAACUUUCAAGCUAUGCUUCCCUGUGUAAGCCUUAGCGAGGUGGGGCCAGUAGCAUCCUUUCCUCCCAGAGGACCAUACAACUCUUAACUUUGCAUCCUGUGAACUACUGAGUCUCUGUUUUACCCAACAUGCCACCAUGUGUCCUGUUACCGUCCAUAGUUUCAGCUAUGCCAGAGUAUCUUAUGGAUAGAGUCCUAUAAUCCUUUCCAGGCUGACUUCUUCUCUUGAUAGCAUGGAUUACAUCUCCUCAACUGCUCCUUUAGGCUGGAAUGUUCAUUGGUUUUUAUUUAGGACCAGGUGGUGCUCAACUGCAAUAACAAAUAAAGUUGCUAUUUCAACACUGUAA